AUGUUCGCAAUAGAUCCAUUGUUUCAUUGAUAUCGAUAAAAACGAUUUUAAGCUUCGGAAGGUGAACUCGCGGUAAAGCACAAACAGACCAAGUAUAUUUUAAUUUCAAAUAUAAGGGAACUGUGAUUUUGUUUGUCUCAAAACAUCCGACUUAUAAGUCAAACAAAAACUAAUGAAUUUCUGAAAAUAAAACCUAUAACAAAUUGAGCCGGAAAAACGUGUUUUAAAGGCAGCACGAAAGUAUGAAAACCCGCCAACUGCCUAAAAGCUGCUCACCCAUAUUUGACGAAAAUUGGACUAGGUGUCAGCAGGCGAGCCAUAUGUAGUAUUCAAAAUUAAAGAAAGUGUUUAUCUAAUAUCUAUGGGCGAGUCGGAAAUAUUUAAUGAGACCCAAAUUGCAUUAAAUGUUAAGGGACAUUUUGUUAAUCCAGCACUGGGAAAACAAUCGGAUACGUGGUCGCCCUUACAUGUUUACCCUAUAGAUUUCGCUAUACUGAGGAACUCGUGGCGGACUGUUUAUACACUGCAAAUAUGCCCGAUUCGAACUAUACAAUACUUAACUAUCCACUCUAUGAGAAGCAAUCCAUCCAUGCCCAAAUGAAAUACGGCUUUCAACUGGGCGGCGUGGUUGAAGACGACGGAUCCAGUUGUGCCAUCUAUUCAAAGAACUUCAAUUGCUGGGUUGCAGUUCUCUUCGGUUUGCUGCUAUGCUGGGCAAUCAUUUCAAGUCGUUUUCGAAUAUAAAACAGUGCAAAAUUUCUGGAUGGGAACAGUAAACUGCUGUUAAAAUAAGUGGAGCCUUAACAUAUUCUGUACAAAUUAUCAGCACGUUAACAGAGCUUCAAGGCGCGGCUUAACAUAAUUAAAAGAUGUAAACGAUAAUAGAAACAGAAUUGCAAGUCCCACAUACUAGCGGCUCUUCAGCUAUCACAACUGCAAGAUACCCAGUAAAUACUAUAUAAAUUAAUUUGACAUUUGUAAAAAUUUGUUAAAAAUCGGAACAAAUUAAACAACACGAGAAAGUUUUUCCGAUUUUUAUCUAUUACAGAAAUAAAAUACAAGCAAAAACAA
Molecule: long non-coding RNA, 1071 nt
Organism: Drosophila montana
Lineage: Eukaryota; Metazoa; Arthropoda; Insecta; Diptera; Drosophilidae
Exons: 2
Source: RefSeq, a predicted model, not a curated record